CAACAUCUCUCAUCAACAAAGAACUGCCAGUUAACACUACAAUGAGGGAUCUCUCUCACCUGUCACAAUGGCUACCAUCAGUCGCUCAACAAACAACAGUGCUGCGUAUGUACAAUAGCCAAGAUCUGGGAGCAGCCCCAAGGCCCAUCACAGAGGAGUGGCUAAGGAGCUGUGGACGUCUGCACAGUGGAAUACCACCGGCCCUAAAACAGACGGAAAUCUCUGUGACAGCACGGAUGGGCCUGGAGAGCAUUAUGUCCUCAGGCAGCAGCAGGCUCUGCACAGGCAAGCUCAUGACUGGUCCGAUCACACCAGAGACUGAGAGGAGGAGUCCAGAAACAGAGAGAAGGAGGGGAGUCGGAGAGUGCGGCCCA
Myotis lucifugus (little brown bat) is the source of this 374-nucleotide long non-coding RNA. RefSeq lists it as uncharacterized. The record is from RefSeq and is a predicted model, not a curated record. NCBI's taxonomy places the organism in Eukaryota, Metazoa, Chordata, Mammalia, Chiroptera, Vespertilionidae. The transcript is spliced from 3 exons.